CCUACGGGAGGCAGCAGUGAUGGAUAUUGCACAAUGGGGGAAACCCUGAUGCAGCGCCGCCGCGUGGGUGAAGAAGCGCCUCGGCGCGUAAAGCCCUGUCAGCAGGGAAGACAAUGACGGUACCUGAAGAAGAAGCCCCGGCUAACUACGUGCCAGCAGCCGCGGUAAUACGUAGGGGGCAAGCGUUAUCCGGAUUUACUGGGUGUAAAGGGGGCGCAGACGGCGAUGCAAGCCAGGAGUGAAAGCCCGGGGCCCAACCCCGGGACUGCUCUUGGAACUGCGUGGCUAGAGUGCAGGAUGGGCAGGCGGAAUUCCUGGUGUAGCGGUGAAAUGCGUAGAUAUCAGGAGGAACACCGGUGGCGAAGGCGGCCUGCUGGACUGCAACUGACGUUGAGGCCCGAAAGCGUGGGGAGCAAACAGGAUUAGAUACCCGAGUAGUC
Molecule: ribosomal RNA, 440 nt
Filed under: uncultured bacterium
Lineage: Bacteria
Description: partial 16S ribosomal RNA
Rfam family: Bacterial small subunit ribosomal RNA
Source: RNAcentral